Molecule: long non-coding RNA, 1006 nt
Filed under: Oryza brachyantha (malo sina)
Lineage: Eukaryota; Viridiplantae; Streptophyta; Magnoliopsida; Poales; Poaceae
Description: long non-coding RNA (OBRA_LNC001312)
Source: RNAcentral
GGUCUUGACAAUUUUAUGGUCCUUGAAAGUACACGUAGGCAUCAAAUUUUACACUAUAAAAUAUAUUAUCUCCUGAUACCAUCACAAGACUAUAAAAAAAUACCCGUCUUAUAUAUUACAUAUGAUAUUACAAGAAGAUUAUGUGAUUAACACCCCUACAUAAUUGGUAGCUAUGACUAUGUCUUAUAUAUGGCAUCACAAGAGCAAUAAACAUGUAAAAACUUUUGCGUACUGACACAUACACAUAUUAUUACAUAUAUUUCAUUGACUGACACCACUUACACUGUCUUGUCGACAGACAUAUGCAACCGUCAUAGAUAGAGCCACAUGUUUCCCAACGAAACCAUGGCAUGUUAGCUAGUUGUUCGCUAUAGCCACUGGUAUAUCACCACCAGUUUUUCCAGCCAUAGACCCAACCCGAACAACGGUGACGGCCAUGCCCUCAGCCCGGCCCGUCGGCGAUAUCUUUGUGGUAGCAUAUGAUGACGGCUUGCCGACGAGGUUGUGGGCCUGUCGGAUCUUCUCCACCUUUCUCACCCUCACCACACCUUCCACCGGGAGCUCGUUGGUCAUGUUCUUGGCUCCACCCCGAAGCAUCGUCGUCGUUGUCGUUGUCGUCUCCCCCGUUUCCUCUCUUCGCCGCUCUUUAAUCGAAUGAUGGAGAUCGACCUAGCUAUUUAUCUAGGGUUUCGAGAGCUCUAGCUAUGGCAAGAUGGUACAUGUUCUUGAGUGAGCUUGCCAGCCUUGGCCACCAUUUAUACUACUCCUAGACAACUACCAACGAGUUGUGUUCUUGUGGGACUCUGCACUAGAUCUCCAGUGAAGAUGCCAAUUGUACAGUGAGAGAGCAACCAAUCAAUGGAGAAAUGUGCAAUGGAUGCUCCUGACUCCUGUUCGAUCGACGUGGCUAGCUGCUUUUUCUUUUGCCUUUUGGAUUUGGAUGUAGCAGCAUAAUAUUAGGUCUUGUUUGUUAGGUCGUUGCUGUGCAGAGUGGUUAUCAUUUGGG